This 98-nucleotide small RNA is filed under the name Cavia porcellus (domestic guinea pig). RNAcentral's name for it is "Y RNA (ENSCPOG00000029532.2)". Lineage: Eukaryota; Metazoa; Chordata; Mammalia; Rodentia; Caviidae. The record is from RNAcentral.
GGCCAGCCUGAACUGCAUAGUGAGACCCUGCCUCAAAAAGACAAAAAUUUUAAAAAAAUUCCUUCUCCACUCCCACUGCUUCACUUGACUAGCCUAAA